Musca domestica (house fly) is the source of this 2220-nucleotide long non-coding RNA. RefSeq lists it as uncharacterized. The record is from RefSeq and is a predicted model, not a curated record. NCBI's taxonomy places the organism in Eukaryota, Metazoa, Arthropoda, Insecta, Diptera, Muscidae. The transcript is spliced from 3 exons.
UUGAGACCCUAAUCAAAGCAGAUACAAGUUUAAAGUUGUAUGCUGUUGCGCAUCAUGUGAACUAAAAAAUAAAAUUACAAAGAGGAAUAGAUGGUGUUGCCAUCAUAAAAAAAAAUUGGGAUCGCCCGAUCGAUAUCUGCCUACGGUUUUACACAACCAUGUUUGAGUAGCCAUUGGAAAAUUAUCAAAAAUGGUGGCGAAACAAAGCUGGUAUAAAAGAGGAAAUUCGAAAAUCAUAGUGUUUCAAAAGACAUAAUCAAAAAGACUUUUAUGGUUGUGAACAUGUGCAAAAAAAGUUCCACAAAAUCACUAUAUUUUUUUGAUCAAUUGUGAUAAGGAACCGGUCAUUGGGUUUGAAAUAAGUCGUUGAAUUUGAAGGAUUUCCUAUGUGUAUCCUAAUUCUGUUUGGGGUUCGUGGUCGAGGUGAUGGAAUUGAUAAGAACUGAUAAUUUGGUCACAAGAGAAAAAUUACUAUUAUAUAAGAAUUAAGAUUUUGCCACUUUGUAUGGAUGGCCCCGACCAGGUUAUAGACAUUCGUAAUAUUAUAUUAAUGUUUUGGAGCACGACAGGGAGCCGUGGUUUAUUUGCAACUGAAAUAGAAGAAAACAACAAACAAAACAAGAGGUAGCAGCAAACCCCCGGCGAUUUGACCCUAUAGUAAUACUUAGUUCUUGGACUUAAACAUAUAAAGAUAAAUAUUUCAAUCCCUUCAUGUGUAGGCCUCGAACCAUGGUAUAAUAAAAAGGUAAGCUAGAGCUACAAGCUGAUUACAAUUUUUUUCUAAGUGUGCCCGACUUUUGUCAAUUUGUGUAUAUAAGUAUUGUUUUGAAAACCAAAAUAAAAUAUUUUCAAAAUCAAUGAAUGGAAGAAACGUACAUUGCAGGACGCUGGUUAAAGAAAAUUCAGACGUUUCAUUCAUCUUUCCCGCUUUUUAACUCGUUUUAAAAAUGUACAUUUGGCACUGAGGGGAUAAACAAUAAAAAAUUGUAAUCGUAUGAUACCAAGAGAUUACCAUGGUAUACACUUUUUUAAUAUAAAAUUUGACUUCAGGACAAUGUGAACAUAUUUUUUUUUUUUUCUAAAAUUAGAGAAAAUCGCUGUUAUACUCUACAAAACAACGAUGUUCACAAACUUUUUCACGGUCAAGAAACAGCGACACCACAUUAGGUAAAAUAUACUCGUAUGUUCCAUGUUUUCUAAAAUUGAAUAAUGUAGAAUAAUUUAUGUAUGUAUGCAGUUUGGUCUCAAUUUGAACGGGAUGUGGCUUUUCCACCAUUUUCUAGAUAUUUUAAGAACUAUUCUUCUACAAUUUUAAUUUAAAAAUCUAAACUCCAAAAAUUUACAUUUUUGAAGUUAAAAUAAUUUAUUGAAAAUUAAUUGUUUUGCUUAAAUUUUUGGACAUAUAACUCUAACACAUGUAUUUCGUACAAAAACUACUUUAUAUGUGGUUUUGUUACAUUUGUUGUACAACAACACUUACUGUUACCUGUAUUAUUCAACCAUGGAUAACAAUUAAGGCGGGAAUACAUAAAGCGCUUAUCUAGCUGGCUUCUUCGGAACUAAGUCAACAUAAACCCCUUUGUUCAUCUACGAAGAAGCCAGCCGGUGAAUUAAGCCAGCCAGAUAAGCGCUUUAUGUAUUCCCACCAUUCUCAAAUGGAAAAUCUGAAUAUCGUACGUCAUGUUAUUUAGUAGAUAAUGUUGUGUAUAGUUAAUUAGAGUUAAAAUAAACUUUUGUGGAAUUUUUGUUAAUAUGGCAGUUUCCUAACUAGAUCUUCAGCAAAUUAAUUGGAGAAGGAUCCCAGAAGUCUAUGGAAGGUGCGUAAAUGGGGCAGCAGGAACAUCCACUCUCCUUUGCCUGAGCAGCUGUUGUGUUUGUUUAAUGUAUAGUGUUUGUUAUGUGUAAAGUUCCGAUUUCGUGUUCGUCCUGAGGUGUUACAAAGUAGACGGUUGAGAACCAGACCCCGAGACCGCUAGCAGAUCGAUGGUCACUUUUAAGCUGCCAAACAGGAUUAUAUAACAAUUAUUUUGGACCCAUUAUAUGUAGCCAUAAUCAAAAUCAAAAUAACCUAAUAUUUUGGUCUAUACCUUGCAAAAUUUUCUAUAGAGUUUUAAAUUUGGUACAGUCCUAUGUAUUACAUUUAGAAUAUAAGUCCUAUCGUUCUACGUUUUUGUAUAGAAUCCAUAUAAAAGUAUACCCCGAUUUAAGUUUUUUUUUAUU